This 479-nucleotide ribosomal RNA is filed under the name uncultured bacterium. RNAcentral describes it as "SSU rRNA". It matches the Rfam family "Bacterial small subunit ribosomal RNA", at positions 26 to 523 of the family's 1533-position model. The record is from RNAcentral.
AGGACGAACGCUGGCGGCGUGCUUAACACAUGCAAGUCGAACGGAAAGGCCCUUCGGGGUACUCGAGUGGCGAACGGGUGAGUAACACGUGGGUGAUCUGCCCCGCACUUUGGGAUAAGCCUGGGAAACUGGGUCUAAUACCGAAUAGGACCAUGGCAUGCAUGUGCUGUGGUGGAAAGCUUUUGCGGUGUGGGAUGGGCCCGCGGCCUAUCAGCUUGUUGGUGGGGUUAAGGCCUACCAAGGCGACGACGGGUAGCCGGCCUGAGAGGGUGUCCGGCCACACUGGGACUGAGAUACGGCCCAGACUCCUACGGGAGGCAGCAGUGGGGAAUAUUGCACAAUGGGCGCAAGCCUGAUGCAGCGACGCCGCGUGAGGGAUGACGGCCUUCGGGUUGUAAACCUCUUUCAGUAUCGACGAAGCGCAGUGACGGUAGGUACAGAAGAAGGACCGGCCAACUACGCGCCAGCAGCCGCGGUAA